UAUAUAUAUAUGAUAUAUUUAUAUUUUUAUUUAAAUUUAAGAUUGAUAACAAACAUAAAACACAUUGGAGAAAUGACAAACUUCCAUGAAGCAAUUUGCAAAAAGUGUGUAUCCAAGGGAGUUAUUAUAGGACCUAAACAAAUCACAUUAUCUCCCCUUGAUCACUAAUAAAACAUGAGUCAGCAGUUGCUUAGGACAAUGACAUGGAAAUUAAUACCAGCUCACUUAUCCGUAGACAAAUUUCCAAAUCUUCCCAUUGUUUUAACAGUACAAUGGAAUUUUACCCUGUCUUGUAAAGUAUUUUAGUUCCAACCCUUCAUUUUGAUUUCGGUGUUAAGCAUCACAUAAAAAAAUACUAAAGAGGCAAACAAAUAAAAAAAGCUAACCAUGUUCUCACAAUUGUGAUUGCAUUAAUUUAUCUGAAAUCUCUGAAUUCUUAAGCUUUAAUUUUCGCCCAUGUCAUAAUUCAAAAUUAUUUGAAAAGCUUUUAAAUUUCUGGAUAUUUGAAUUUUGAUAAUACAGUUAUACUCUGUCUAGGAUAUGGUCUGUGAAGUGGAAUGAUUCAUACAUGCUUUUUCCAUGCUCCUAUUUUAUUUGAAUGCAUGGACACACUACACAUAUCUAUCUUUUAACAAGGAAUCCUUUCCCUUAGCACUUUUAUAUGUUAUUGAAAGGACAUUAUUAAUAAGAAGCAUUAUUUCAAAUUUCAGAUCACGAGGAAAAUAACACGGAAGAGAGCGAAGAAGAUACAAGGGCCAAACCAAUGGUCCGUGGCUCCUGGCUGCCCGUGCUGGACACGGACAGCUUUGACCUCGGCAACAGCAUUGACUUUGCCGAGGAGUGCGGCCCUGUCAACCCUCAAGGUAAAAAGAAUUGAUAAAUACAAAUAUCAUUAAGUGCAUGAAUUCAUAAUCAACAUAGACAAUGCCUGUCAUCCAAAACUAAGUAAGGAAUUGUUUCAUAUUUGGUGUCUCGAACAAGGUUAAUUAUAUGUUUAGGUAUAAAUGUGGAUAUAAGUUGUAUGAUAUUAAGAUUAUCAUUACAUGUACAUGUAUCAAAUACAAUGAUAUAUGACAGCGUGAUUUAUAAUAAUUCAUGUGGUCAUAAAUUAUGAUAUAUGUUUCAGAUUACCAUGCCCCUCCUAUAUGCUAUUUUGAUAAGCAACUCAGAGGAGAGGAUGGAGAUGUUGAUUUGUUCGACCUGCUGGUCAGGGAGACAAACAGGUAUGCUGAGCAGUACCUGCAGGGCCGCACUCCAUCACCACAGGGCAGGGCUCGGGCGUGGAGACCCGUAGGCCGGGAAGAAAUGCGGGCAUUUUUUGGACUCUUGUUGGCCAUGGGUGUCAUCAAGAAGCCAACCAUCGCUUCCUACUGGAAUGAAGGGGACAAGAACUGGCUGGCGUCAACACCUUCCUUCGACAGGGUCCACUGCUGGCAGUGCUCUUUUCAGACAGGAAGGUCUUCACAAUCCUUUCUACCAUGGGUACAGUAGUCCAAGAAUGGAGGAUGGGCUUAACUCACGGGACCGGUCUGUCACUCUCCCCUCAGUCAUUAGACUGUACAACACUCUAAUGGGUGGAGUUGACCUUGGGAUCAACUCAUUGGUGUCUAUGAUCCCCAAGUCCGCUCCAAGAAGCUGUGGAAGAAAGUUUUAAUCAACUUUCUUCUCACAGCAUCAGUAAAUGCCUAUCAGACAUUCCUGAACACUCAUGGUAGAACGACCUCCCGUCUGGACUUCCACAUGUCCCUUCUCCACUCACUCGUCGGGAACACUCGGGUGAAGAGGAGGACUGGCAGGCCCAGGACCAAGCCUCCUUCCCGACGACUGACCGGACGUCACUUCAUAGAGUGAGUGAGUGAGUGAGUUUGGUUUUACGCCGCUUUUAGGAUUAUUCCAGCAAUAUCACGGCGGGGGA
This is a long non-coding RNA of Haliotis rufescens (red abalone), 1915 nucleotides long. RefSeq lists it as uncharacterized. The record is from RefSeq and is a predicted model, not a curated record. The transcript has 3 exons. Lineage: Eukaryota; Metazoa; Mollusca; Gastropoda; Lepetellida; Haliotidae.